GAUGAACGCUGGCGGCGUGCCUAAUACAUGCAAGUCGAGCGAACAGAUGAGGAGCUUGCUCCUCUAACGUUAGCGGCGGACGGGUGAGUAACACGUGGAUAACCUACCUAUAAGACUGGGAUAACUUCGGGAAACCGGAGCUAAUACCGGAUAAUAUAUUGAACCGCAUGGUUCAAUAGUGAAAGACGGUUUUGCUGUCACUUAUAGAUGGAUCCGCGCCGCAUUAGCUAGUUGGUAAGGUAACGGCUUACCAAGGCAACGAUGCGUAGCCGACCUGAGAGGGUGAUCGGCUACACUGGAACUGAGACACGGUCCAGACUCCUACGGGAGGCAGCAGUAGGGAAUCUUCCGCAAUGGGCGAAAGCCUGACGGAGCAACGCCGCGUGAGUGAUGAAGGUCUUCGGAUCGUAAAACUCUGUUAUUAGGGAAGAACAAAUGUGUAAGUAACUAUGCACGUCUUGACGGUACCUAAUCAGAAAGCCACGGCUAACUACGUG
This 497-nucleotide ribosomal RNA is filed under the name uncultured bacterium. Its description in RNAcentral is "partial 16S ribosomal RNA". It matches the Rfam family "Bacterial small subunit ribosomal RNA", at positions 28 to 507 of the family's 1533-position model. The record is from RNAcentral.